RNAcentral lists this ribosomal RNA (328 nucleotides) under uncultured eukaryote. Its description in RNAcentral is "partial 18S ribosomal RNA". It matches the Rfam family "Eukaryotic small subunit ribosomal RNA", at positions 1470 to 1796 of the family's 1831-position model. The record is from RNAcentral.
CCCUUAGAUGUCCGGGGCUGCACGCGCGCUACACUGAAGGAAUCAGCGUGUUAAAACCAUUGUCGAAAGGCAUUGGUAAACCCAUUAAAAUCCUACGUGAUUGGGAUCGGGAAUUGCAAUUAUUUCCCUUGAACGAGGAAUUCCCAGUAAGUGUGGGUCAUAAGCUCGCGUUGAUUACGUCCCUGCCCUUUGUACACACCGCCCGUCGCUGCCCGGGACUGAGCCGUUUCGAGAAAAGCGGGGACUGCUGCUGUCGGGGCUUUCGGGCCUUGGCUUCGGUGGAAACCGCUUUAAUCGCAGUGGCUUGAACCGGGCAAAAGUCGUAACA